RNAcentral lists this ribosomal RNA (425 nucleotides) under uncultured bacterium. RNAcentral describes it as "bacterial SSU rRNA". It matches the Rfam family "Bacterial small subunit ribosomal RNA", at positions 917 to 1344 of the family's 1533-position model. The record is from RNAcentral.
GGGCCCGCACAAGCGGUGGAGCAUGUGGUUUAAUUCGAUGAUACGCGAGGAACCUUACCAGGGCUUAAAUGUAAGUUGCAUAAGUUAGAGAUAGUCUUUUUCUUCGGACUACUUACAAGGUGCUGCAUGGUUGUCGUCAGCUCGUGCCGUGAGGUGUCAGGUUAAGUCCUAUAACGAGCGCAACCCCUAUCGUUAGUUGCCAUCAAGUAAAGUUGGGAACUCUAGCGAAACUGCCGGUGCAAACCGAGAGGAAGGUGGGGAUGACGUCAAAUCAUCACGGCCCUUACGUUCUGGGCUACACACGUGCUACAAUGGUCGGUACAGAAAGCAGCCACUAUGCGAAUAGGAGCGAAUCUACAAAACCGGUCUCAGUUCGGAUCGCAGUCUGCAACUCGACUGCGUGAAGCUGGAAUCGCUAGUAAUCG